GGGGCCGACUGGUUUUGACAGCAUAGGGCAGGGUAAGUAAGCAUGUCGUGCGUUGUGUAAUUAGCACGUAAAUCAGAAUACUCAAAAUCUAAAUGGCGAAUCUAACUUUGCCAUGGCUGCCUAAUUAUUAAUUAGACAACCAUUUUGGCCGCAGAAAGCAGCUGCCUGUUCCUGUUUCUGCCGCCUAAAUCAAACCAAUAACAGGAUAUGAUCUGCAUUGUUGCGCUGCAGGUAUGAAAACCAAAGCGACUAGGUAAGUAGUAAGUUUGUCCGGUUCUGGCUGCUUACCGAAAUUCAAUUCCGGAAUACACAUGUAGAAAGCUUAUUGGGCAUAUGUUUGGACGCGGGUUCGAAUCCCGCCGGUUCCACCA
RNAcentral lists this transfer-messenger RNA (371 nucleotides) under Sphingobacteriales bacterium. It matches the Rfam family "transfer-messenger RNA". From Rfam's summary of the family: Bacterial tmRNA, also known as 10Sa RNA or SsrA, is named for its dual tRNA and mRNA-like properties. Its role is to liberate the mRNA from a stalled ribosome. Lineage: Bacteria; Pseudomonadati; Bacteroidota; Sphingobacteriia; Sphingobacteriales. The record is from RNAcentral.